Molecule: ribosomal RNA, 460 nt
Filed under: uncultured bacterium
Lineage: Bacteria
Description: partial 16S ribosomal RNA
Rfam family: Bacterial small subunit ribosomal RNA
Source: RNAcentral
CCUACGGGUGGCAGCAGUGAGGAAUAUUGGUCAAUGGGCGCGAGCCUGAACCAGCCAAGUAGCGUGAAGGAUGACUGCCCUACGGGUUGUAAACUUCUUUUAUAAAGGAAUAAAGUGAUGCACGUGUGCCUUUUUGUAUGUACUUUAUGAAUAAGGAUCGGCUAACUCCGUGCCAGCAGCCGCGGUAAUACGGAGGAUCCGAGCGUUAUCCGGAUUUAUUGGGUUUAAAGGGAGCGUAGAUGGGUUGUUAAGUCAGUUGUGAAAGUUUGCGGCUCAACCGUAAAAUUGCAAUUGAUACUGUCAGCCUUGAGUACAGUUGAGGUAGGCGGAAUUCGUGGUGUAGCGGUGAAAUGCUUAGAUAUCACGAAGAACUCCGAUUGCGAAGGCAGCCUACUAAACUGUCACUGACAUUGAUGCUCGAAAGUGUGGGUAGCAAACAGGAUUAGAUACCCUUGUAGUC